GACAGAGGGUGCAAACGUUGUUCGGAAUUACUGGGCGUAAAGCGUGUGUAGGCGGCUAUGUAAGUCGGAUGUGAAAGCCCUGGGCUCAACCCAGGAAGUGCACUCGAUACUGCGUAGCUUGAGUCUCGGAGAGGUUGGUGGAAUUCUCGGUGUAGAGGUGAAAUUCGUAGAUAUCGAGAGGAACACCGGUGGCGAAGGCGGCCAACUGGACGAAGACUGACGCUGAGGCACGAAGGUCAGGGGAGCAAACGGG
This 253-nucleotide ribosomal RNA is filed under the name uncultured bacterium. Its description in RNAcentral is "partial 16S ribosomal RNA". It matches the Rfam family "Bacterial small subunit ribosomal RNA", at positions 524 to 776 of the family's 1533-position model. The record is from RNAcentral.